CAUAACGAGAAGAAUGAUGGCAAGAAAGAGUGAGGCUUUAUGUGUCGUAGGUGGGCCCAGACCUAACCCAGACUGUCCCAAGAGCGCUCGGAUGGCUUCCUAUAUGCAGGCAGCCUGUUCACUUGCCGUAAAGCAAAAUGACAAAUGCCGCUGUGAGCGCUCCCCGAAGUGCGACGACCUUCGCGCUGCGAAGAACUAGGAUAAACCAGUGGUCUACGUAUCUCUUUGGACGUAAAGUAAGCUAAUCCGGUUGCGGAUCAUGUUUGCAGCCCCUUUAAAUGAUACUGAUACGCCUUAGUCGCGAAAGUCGCAUGUUCCGAGAUCCAGACAGUUUCUUCAUCUGUUUAUUUAGGAAUUCUGAUCGAACGAGUUUAACAAUUUAUCUAAUUGUGCUUCAUAAGUUCAUUUAAAUUGAUAAAAAGAUUAAGAAUUUUAAUUCUAUAAUAAAAGAAUAUUACCUUCAAUGAUAAGCUUUUAAUUUUAUUAUCAUUAUUAUUUGUUUGUGCCAUGACAUGUGUGCAGGUUAGUUUUUAAUGAUAAUUAAAGAUUUUGAAUGAGAUGCGAUAACUAUUCGAUUAUACUUUUGGGAAAUUUUGAGAAUUAAUCAGUCUCUGAGGGUAAAAUGUAAUUGAAAAUAGGCUAUUAAACCUCGGGCAGAUGCUCGUCCAAGUUAUUUCCCCGUGCACGCAGGUGUUUCUACAAUUGUCCCUAGUAGUUUUACCCUCCUAUUAGACAUGAAACACAUUCCCCAGCAUCGACUUUGUGAUUCCAUCCUUGUUAAAUGCUAUAAUUUCUCUUGGAUAUUAUUUGGAAAGGGAAAUUACGAAGUUAAAACAAUGAAUUGAAUUAUUAAUAUUCUAGAAAUGUUUCUUUCGUCUAUUUCGAUGAAAUUGAAAAUUUUUAAUAAUAUUUGGAUUGAAUUCUUAUUAAUAAUAGAUCGUCAAAGAUUCGGAAGAAAAAUGAUUUAUUUUACACUGGAAAAUGUUUUAAAUAUAAAUAAAAAAUUAUUCGAUAAUAAAAAUUAGGAAAAAAAAAGAAUUUAUUGUUUAAAAGCUUAUUUUUAUAUUGUAACAAGUAAGAUAUAUGAUCUUUUAAAAGACACUUUAUAUUUUCAAGUAGAAAAGUGAAUCGAAUUCGUAAUGCGCGCCGUUGUGUGCGCAAGGAUUCUUCGACGGAUGGAUCAACAGUCACCCCAUACAGAUGGUCUCCCUCGUAGAAAGAGGCUCUACCAUUACGCUCUAGCCGAGAUAGGUAUCGAUUCAAAUUUCUAUCUCGCCUUCGAUCGAAUCGCGUUCCCAAAAAUUUUCUUUACAUCGUUCCGUUCAUUUCGAUUUAACGUUCCCGAAAAUUAAUUAAAAUUAUUGCAAUCGAAUUUUUUUUUUUCAGAAGAAGAGGCGUGGUACAGUAUGUAGUUUGAUCUUAUAAUAGAAUCGAUAGUAGAUCGACUAACUUUUCUAUUCGGUUCGUGGCAUAUUACUGUUUGUUUAUUUUAAGUCCCAGGCGUAUCUUGUUUCGGAACCAGACCCAGCUGACCGCAGCCUGGCAUCGUUUUCUCGUUUUAUUCUCUUGCGUUACGCAUCGACCUGGUGUCGGUGGUGCGAAUUAAGCGAGAAAAAUCGACGCCGUGAAGCUGAUGCACGCAAUUUCCAGAACGAUCGAUUCGAUUUUUUGGAAUAACAAUAUUAAUCUGACAAUAUUCUAGGCAAUUAAAUUUAUAUAUUUUUAUGCAAUUCUAUCUCUUCUUUUUAGCAAUUCAUGAUAGAAAUUUGGAGAAUUUGAAUCUUUUGUAAACUUAAUACAUGAGAAUUUUUUAAUUUAUGAGAAAGAAUUUGAAAGGAUCGGAAAAGAAAUUUGAUAAAAUUGUUUUGACCGAAAAGAAAUUUGAUAUAGUUGUUUUAACCGAAAAGGAUAAUGAAGUUAAAUCUUUAGCAACAGUUUUAGACGCGCCAAGAAACCACGCUGCUAGCCUUGCAUCGAAAUCCCCAAGCCACCCCAACGCGAAGAAAGAAGCGAUGCAGUCACAUAUUCCUCUCACGGAUUUCUUUUUCUAUAUUAAAUUUUACGUAUAAAAAAUAUAAAUUCGAAAAGUUAAAAUUGAAUUAAAAAUAAAAUUCGAAUUAAAAAAAAUUAAUUUACCGGAAAUAAUUAUCAUUCUGAUUAAUGUGAAUUUAAAUUUUAUAUAUUUAUUGUUAAUUUAGAAACUUUUUCAAUAUAAAUUUCAAAAUAAAAAUAAAAUAAAAAUUUCUCAUAAAAAAAAAUAUAUAUAUGUGUGUAUAUAUAAAGAUUAUCAAAUAUCGUAUUAAUUUGAAAUGAGAAAAAAAAUUAUUGGUCCAUCAUUAUGAAACAAUUAAAAAGUCAUCAUAUCAUC
Molecule: long non-coding RNA, 2368 nt
Organism: Apis cerana (Asiatic honeybee)
Lineage: Eukaryota; Metazoa; Arthropoda; Insecta; Hymenoptera; Apidae
Source: RefSeq, a predicted model, not a curated record